AGCUCCGUUUUCCUUUUCAGAUUUGUGUUCAGUCUGCACCUUCUACAUGACAUGGUGGAGUAUGCAUUACAUAAAGCCCCCAGGUUAGAGACAGGACCCCUAGGGCCAGGAGGGGGUAAGUACAGCGCUGACCAGGACUGGAGGCCACAUCACCCUUGCCCCAGCACUCGUGAAUUUGAUGUGGUCAUCCCACCUGCCAGCAGAACAUGAACGGGGCCUCCCCACAAGGAAGCCUGGAAGUCCCUUGGGUGCCUUGUGAUCUGCGUCAUGGUGAGGAGGACUCCAGGGACAGACGGCCAGGGACGUUCCCAUGUGGAGGAGACUCCACUGGCAGAGAAGCAGCGUCAAGCUGAAGACGUUGGGGUGUGCUGGCUGGCCAGGACAGCGCUUGUCCCCCUGUCCACACAUGGACACUGGACUUCCCUCUGCGGCCCAGCCAGCAGUCUCGUCUCGCAGCCGCAGCUUUCAGCAGGAAGGAGCUCGCUGGUGCCUGCCUGACCUACCAGGGCCCACACCUUUGCCCUCCUAACAUUUUGUAUUUUAAGUGCUUGUCACAGUCCACAAAAUAACCACUCAGAAUCUGUUACUAUUUUGUUUAUACAUUGUAUCAAGUGAAUGUUAACAAGUCAUCUAAGUGUAUGCUUUAGUUAUAAAUCUUGGAAAAAUAAAAACUUCCUUUUGGAGGAAAAGUUAACUCACUUUGGUAUGAAAAUCACACAACUCCAGGUUGGAUUUUUUUGUGCUUUAAUGUUCGCAGUCACACAAAAGUGGUAUCUCCAUCAGCACUGGGGCGGCCACCUCCUCCUCAUCAGCCCGACAGCUGCACGGUCCCGCCUCUCACCCAUUUGGUCUGUUUGCAAGUUACUAGAUCAUACAAAAAUAACCGCUACAAAUUCUCUGUAUCUGGCAUAUAAAAACUGAGCAAAAAGUAUCUCUUAAAGCAAAACAUCUCAGAAAAAAUACAACACAGGUUUAACUUCUGCAGUACUUUGUUCAUAUAAAACACUAGUAAAAUAGGCUUCUUAAAAAUUAAAUAGUGAAAUACCAACCAAAUUAUAUACAUUGUUACAGUACAAGUGAAUGAGGCAAAAUAUCCAGUUCUUAGCUUCCCAGGUGGAGGGGGGGCUGCCAGUGUGUGGCAUGGAAGGGUGACAGGAAGGCCAUGUUCUGAUGUCACAGUCAGUGCAGAAACAGGCUUGCAGCGGG
Molecule: long non-coding RNA, 1206 nt
Organism: Cercocebus atys (sooty mangabey)
Lineage: Eukaryota; Metazoa; Chordata; Mammalia; Primates; Cercopithecidae
Exons: 2
Source: RefSeq, a predicted model, not a curated record